GGUGCUGUCCUGGUUCUUGAGGCUCAUGUAUUUUAGAUGGUGAGUGUCUCGCUGGUGGUCCAUGCCCAAACUAACUUUCUCUGUUGGCUGUCGGCCUAAACUAAUUUCGGCAAUAUUUUUGUCACAUCUAAAUAUUCUUUUUACGAGGAACAACAAUCUCUGUGGGCAGCCAGCCUUCCUCAUAUUGACGCAUAUACCAGUUGUUAUCUUAAAUUGUAUAAAAGAAAUUCCCAAGGAUAUGCAGCAUGUUGAUUCUCAAAAGUCUAGAUAUCAGCUGCGUUAGCCCAUUGCAUAUUCAUUUCACUU
RNAcentral lists this long non-coding RNA (306 nucleotides) under Elaeis guineensis (African oil palm). Its description in RNAcentral is "long non-coding RNA (EGUI_LNC035360)". The record is from RNAcentral. Lineage: Eukaryota; Viridiplantae; Streptophyta; Magnoliopsida; Arecales; Arecaceae.